GUUCGCGCUUGCAGUGUCGCGCAUGGCCGCGCGCCCGCACUUUGCAAAGGAUUCAAUGGGUCGCUUUCGUGCGCACAUCGCAUUCUCUGUGUGUUCCUGCGUUGAUGGCUCAGCUUCGUUUUGGUGCUUUCAGACAUUCACGUACUAAUCACAGACAUGGGAAGACUAUAAGACGUCAAGAUGAAAGGCUCCUAGCAGCUCAGUGUUCCCAACGAAACUGGCAGAAUGGCAGUGGCUGAUUACAAGCUGCCUUUGGUGAACAAAAAAACCGUGACCACAUUAGAAUCCGAGCAGAGCUCCAAUCCUGCAUUCUGAUGACACCUUACACAACGGCUCUCUGUUAUGGGGGGCUGGUACUUAAGAAGCUUUACUGCGGGCAUCCUACCCACUAUUUUCAGACUGUUUUGGUGGAAACUUAAGCUAGACUCUAGGCCAGCGGCGGAAAAAGAGCUUCAGGGACGUGCAUGUCUACAGUGUCAUGGAAGAUGCAUCAAAGGAUACUGGACCUGCCGCCAGCUGACAUGCCUUUCUUCCUCCUUAGUUCUGUUAAGAUGUGGGUUCAGUUUUUCUAGACAUGCAAUCCAUAAUAUAUGCAGUCUAGUCAAUCAGUGCACGGCAUUACAUGCCAUUCAUUUCCUAUGUAUAUAUUUAGUCAGAAUCAAAGCAGGACAAGCACAUGUACAUAAUUUGCAAGAAUAAAAUUUUGUUUUUUGCUAAUUUUGCUGCCUCUUAAACAUUGUUAUGAAAUGCUGGCUACAGAAGAGGCAUUUUACAAGAUGUCUUUUCAA
Molecule: long non-coding RNA, 788 nt
Organism: Dermacentor silvarum
Lineage: Eukaryota; Metazoa; Arthropoda; Arachnida; Ixodida; Ixodidae
Exons: 4
Source: RefSeq, a predicted model, not a curated record